This 848-nucleotide ribosomal RNA is filed under the name uncultured organism. RNAcentral describes it as "bacterial SSU rRNA". It matches the Rfam family "Bacterial small subunit ribosomal RNA", at positions 9 to 892 of the family's 1533-position model. The record is from RNAcentral.
GAGUUGAUCCUGGCUCAGAAUGAACGCUGGCGGCAUGGAUUAGGCAUGCAAGUCGCACGAGAAUUCACCUUCGGGUGAGAGGACAGUGGCGAAAGGGUGAGUAACACGUGAGUAUCUGCCUCCGGGUCGGGGACAGCCCGCGGAAACGCGGAUUAAUACCCGACGAACCCCAUGGGGUAAAGAGGAAUCGCCCGGAGAUGAGCUCGCGGCCCAUCAGCUUGUUGGCGGGGUAAUGGCCCACCAAGGCAACGACGGGUAGGUGGUCUGAGAGGAUGGUCACCCACACUGGGACUGAGACACUGCCCAGACUCCUACGGGAGGCUGCAGUCGAGAAUCAUCCGCAAUGGGCGAAAGCCUGACGGUGCAAUGCCGCGUGGGGGAUGAAGGCCUUCGGGUCGUAAACCCCUGUCAGAAGGGACGAAGCAAGUGACGGUACCUUCAGAGGAAGCCACGGCUAACUACGUGCCAGCAGCCGCGGUAAUACGUAGGUGGCGAGCGUUAUUCGGAUUUACUGGGCGUAAAGGGUCCGCAGGGGGUUUGCCAAGUCCGGUGUGAAAGUCCAGGGCUCAACCCUGGAACUGCGCCGGAUACUGGUGAACUUGAGUGCGCGAAGGGCAGGCGGAAUUCCUGGUGUAGCGGUGGAAUGCGUAGAUAUCAGGAAGAACACCGACGGCGAAAGCGGCCUGCUGGCGCGCCACUGACCCUCAUGGACGAAAGCGUGGGUAGCAAACAGGAUUAGAUACCCUGGUAGUCCACGCUGUAAACGGUGCAGACCCGAUGCGGGGGGCAGCCCCCUCCGUGUCCAAGCUAACGCGUUAAGUCUGCCGUCUGGGGACUACGGUCGCAAG